UCCGUAAUCCGAUCCGGUCCAGUCCAAUUCGAUAGGUUUGAAUUGGUUUUUUGAAUCCAUGGUUCGAUUCCGAAUUGAAAAUUUCAAAAUCCGUAGACCACGGAUCGGUUCCAGAUUGAACCCCACGGUUCCGGAUUGGAACCGAUCCGGACCAUCUAGAAAUAAUCUAUAUUUUUAUACUAUAUACCUUCCCACACCAUAUAAUUUCUUAUUUGAUAUAAAAACUAAAAUGUAACCUAACCUAAUCCAGCAGCCUCACUCAUUCACGCUUCUUUCAGGCUGGAAGUAGAACUAUUGAUUUAUGGCUUAUGCAUUGUAUAAGGUUUGAAAUUCAGAUGAGCCAUAUGCCUAUGAAACAUGAAUGCACCCUACAGUUAAUGAUAGUUGUAGAUAUCCUGUCAAGGCUUGAGGUUCUGUCAAGCUUGUUUACAGGCUGCCAUUGGAAUGGAUGUUGUUUAAUUAUAUUGUUUACAGGUUUUCAGCAGCUAUGUUGCUAUUGGAAUGGAAAUGUAAUGUCUAUAUUUUUUUGUUAUUUAAUUAUUUAAAUCCGUGGUCCUAAACCGAUCCAAUCCGUGUUUCAACGGAUUGGUUUGGAUUGGUUCCACAAUUUAAACGGA
Molecule: long non-coding RNA, 617 nt
Organism: Camellia sinensis
Lineage: Eukaryota; Viridiplantae; Streptophyta; Magnoliopsida; Ericales; Theaceae
Source: RefSeq, a predicted model, not a curated record